AUUGAACGCUGGCGGCAUGCUUUACACAUGCAAGUCGAACGGUAACAGGCCUUCGGGUGCUGACGAGUGGCGAACGGGUGAGUAAUGCAUCGGAACGUACCCAGAGGUGGGGGAUAACGCAGCGAAAGCUGUGCUAAUACCGCAUGUGAUCUGAGGAUGAAAGCGGGGGACCGAGCAGCAAUGUUUGGCCUCGCGCCUUUGGAGCGGCCGAUGUCGGAUUAGCUAGUUGGUGGGGUAAAGGCCUACCAAGGCGACGAUCCGUAGCUGGUCUGAGAGGACGACCGGCCACACUGGGACUGAGACACGGCCCAGACUCCUACGGGAGGCAGCAGUGGGGAAUUUUGGACAAUGGGCGAAAGCCUGAUCCAGCAAUGCCGCGUGCGGGAAGAAGGCCUUCGGGUUGUAAACCGCUUUUGGCAGGAACGAAACGGUGUCCGCUAAUACCGGGAGCUAAUGACGGUACCUGCAGAAUAAGCACCGGCUAACUACGUG
RNAcentral lists this ribosomal RNA (492 nucleotides) under uncultured bacterium. RNAcentral's name for it is "partial 16S ribosomal RNA". It matches the Rfam family "Bacterial small subunit ribosomal RNA", at positions 29 to 507 of the family's 1533-position model. The record is from RNAcentral.